CAAGGCUGAGGCGUGACGACGAGGCACUACGGUGCUGAAGCAACAAAUGCCCUGCUUCCAGGAAAAGCCUCUAAGCAUCAGGUAACAUCAAAUCGUACCCCAAACCGACACAGGUGGUCAGGUAGAGAAUACCAAGGCGCUUGAGAGAACUCGGGUGAAGGAACUAGGCAAAAUGGUGCCGUAACUUCGGGAGAAGGCACGCUGACACGUAGGUGAAGUGAUUUACUCAUGGAGCUGAAGUCAGUCGAAGAUACCAGCUGGCUGCAACUGUUUAUUAAAAACACAGCACUGUGCAAACACGAAAGUGGACGUAUACGGUGUGACGCCUGCCCGGUGCCGGAAGGUUAAUUGAUGGGGUCAGCGCAAGCGAAGCUCCUGAUCGAAGCCCCGGUAAACGGCGGCCGUAACUAUAACGGUCCUAAGGUAGCGAAAUUCCUUGUCGGGUAAGUUCCGACCUGCACGAAUGGCGUAAUGAUGGCCAGGCUGUCUCCACCCGAGACUCAGUGAAAUUGAACUCGCUGUGAAGAUGCAGUGUACCCGCGGCAAGACGGAAAGACCCCGUGAACCUUUACUAUAGCUUGACACUGAACAUUGAGCCUUGAUGUGUAGGAUAGGUGGGAGGCUUUGAAGUGUGGACGCCAGUCUGCAUGGAGCCGACCUUGAAAUACCACCCUUUAAUGUUUGAUGUUCUAACGUGGACCCGUAAUCCGGGUUGCGGACAGUGUCUGGUGGGUAGUUUGACUGGGGCGGUCUCCUCCUAAAGAGUAACGGAGGAGCACGAAGGUUGGCUAAUCCUGGUCGGACAUCAGGAGGUUAGUGCAAUGGCAUAAGCCAGCUUGACUGCGAGCGUGACGGCGCGAGCAGGUGCGAAAGCAGGUCAUAGUGAUCCGGUGGUUCUGAAUGGAAGGGCCAUCGCUCAACGGAUAAAAGGUACUCCGGGGAUAACAGGCUGAUACCGCCCAAGAGUUCAUAUCGACGGCGGUGUUUGGCACCUCGAUGUCGGCUCAUCACAUCCUGGGGCUGAAGUAGGUCCCAAGGGUAUGGCUGUUCGCCAUUUAAAGUGGUACGCGAGCUGGGUUUAGAACGUCGUGAGACAGUUCGGUCCCUAUCUGCCGUGGGCGCUGGAGAACUGAGGGGGGCUGCUCCUAGUACGAGAGGACCGGAGUGGACGCAUCACUGGUGUUCGGGUUGUCAUGCCAAUGGCACUGCCCGGUAGCUAAAUGCGGAAGAGAUAAGUGCUGAAAGCAUCUAAGCACGAAACUUGCCCCGAGAUGAGUUCUCCCUGAGACUUAGAGUCUCCUGAAGGAACGUUGAAGACGACGACGUUGAUAGGCCGGGUGUGUAAGCGCAGCGAUGCGUUGAGCUAACCGGUACUAAUGAACCGUGAGG
This 1389-nucleotide ribosomal RNA is filed under the name Salmonella enterica subsp. enterica serovar Kentucky. RNAcentral's name for it is "partial 23S ribosomal RNA". It matches the Rfam family "Bacterial large subunit ribosomal RNA", at positions 1551 to 2916 of the family's 2925-position model. The record is from RNAcentral. Lineage: Bacteria; Pseudomonadati; Pseudomonadota; Gammaproteobacteria; Enterobacterales; Enterobacteriaceae.